GAUGAAGAACGUAGCGAAAUGCGAAAAGUAAUGUGAAUUGCAGAAUUCAGUGAACCAUCGAAUCUUUGAACGCACAUUGCGCCCGCUGGAACUCCGGCGGGCACGCCUGUCCGAGCGUCAUUUCAACCCUCAGGCCCCCCUUCGCGGGCGGGCCUGGUGUUGGGGCCCGGCCGCUACCCUGCGGCCGUCCCCUAAAUUCAGUGGCGGCCUCGCCGUGAUCCCUUGCGUAGUAAUGCACCUCGCACCGGAGAGCGCCGUGGCCACGCCGUAAAACCCCCAAUUUUCAAUGGUUGACCUCGGGUCAGGUGGGAAUACCCGCUGAACUUAAGCAUAUCAAUAAGCGGAGGA
Molecule: unclassified non-coding RNA, 348 nt
Filed under: soil metagenome
Description: partial contains 5.8S ribosomal RNA, internal transcribed spacer 2, and large subunit ribosomal RNA
Rfam family: 5.8S ribosomal RNA (bases 1-120)
Source: RNAcentral